GGCUACACACGUGCUACAAUGGGUAGAACAGAGAGUUGCAAAGCUGUGAAGUGGAGCUAAUCUCAGAAAACUAUUCUUAGUUCGGAUUGUACUCUGCAACUCGAGUACAUGAAGUUGGAAUCGCUAGUAAUCGCGAAUCAGCAAUGUCGCGGUGAAUACGUUCUCGGGUCUUGUACACACCGCCCGUCACACCACGAGAGUUGGUUGCACCUGAAGUAGCAGGCCUAACCGUAAGGAGGGAUGCUCCGAGGGUGUGAUUAGCGAUUGGGGUGAAGUCGUAACAAGGUAUCCGUACGGGAACGU
Molecule: ribosomal RNA, 303 nt
Filed under: uncultured Fusobacterium sp.
Lineage: Bacteria; Fusobacteriati; Fusobacteriota; Fusobacteriia; Fusobacteriales; Fusobacteriaceae
Description: bacterial SSU rRNA
Rfam family: Bacterial small subunit ribosomal RNA
Source: RNAcentral